GGACGUGAGGGUGAUCUGGCUACGACAUCUGUCACCCCAGUAACCGCCAGGGUUGAUUUGGCUGCUCUGGCUGGCUGGGCAGGUAUCCCUUCCUUCCUCAGCGCUUCGCGUGCGUCCCUCCCGAAGCUGCGGCUCGGUCGAAGAGGACGACCAUACCCGAGAGAGGAGCUGCGCUCCCCCGCUAGAACCUCCAAACCAGCGCUCAGGGUCCAUUUGUAGGAGAACGUAGGGUUGUCAAGACUCCAAACACAUCCAGAUGAGGCGCUGCAUGUGACAAUCUGCCUUUCU
RNAcentral lists this small nuclear RNA (288 nucleotides) under Aotus nancymaae (Ma's night monkey). RNAcentral describes it as "7SK RNA (ENSANAG00000002891.1)". It matches the Rfam family "7SK RNA". From Rfam's summary of the family: 7SK was discovered as an abundant small nuclear RNA in the mid-70s but a possible function has only recently been suggested. Two independent studies have found that 7SK RNA binds the CDK9/cyclin T complex (known as elongation factor P-TEFb). P-TEFb activates transcription by phosphorylating the C-terminal domain of RNA polymerase II. Lineage: Eukaryota; Metazoa; Chordata; Mammalia; Primates; Aotidae. The record is from Rfam by way of RNAcentral.